GUGCUUGCUUUGGCAGCACAUAUGCUAAAAUUGGAAUGAUACAGAAAAUAUUAGCAUAGCCCCUGUGCAAGGAUGACAUACAAAUUCAUGAAGAGUCCAUAUUUAAA
This is a small nuclear RNA of Heterocephalus glaber (naked mole-rat), 107 nucleotides long. NCBI's taxonomy places the organism in Eukaryota, Metazoa, Chordata, Mammalia, Rodentia, Bathyergidae. The record is from Ensembl.